Long non-coding RNA from Syngnathus typhle (broad-nosed pipefish), 1475 nucleotides. RefSeq lists it as uncharacterized. The record is from RefSeq and is a predicted model, not a curated record. The transcript has 2 exons. NCBI's taxonomy places the organism in Eukaryota, Metazoa, Chordata, Actinopteri, Syngnathiformes, Syngnathidae.
CGCUUGCGACUGCUGUUGACAACGAAACGAGUGUUCGUCUGCGGCAGAGGGUCCAUGCCCAAAACCUUAUGAACAUGACGGAAUGCCAACAGCCUCAGCGCAACCUGUAAAGACAAAGCCACAAGACGCAUACACCCAUUGAAUCACUGAUGACAAUCAGAUAAAUUUUAUAAGUAUCACAGUGGAACCCUAUCAAAACAAAUUACAGUAUUUUCCGCACCAUUAAGUGCUGCAGGGUAAAAGGUGUAGACUCAAUUGCGGGGACUUUUCUAUACUUAAUCCACAUAUAGGACGCACUGCAUUGUAGGGCGCAUGCAUGCCAUGAUUUAUGGCAAACAGAAAAACGUUCAGUUGUACCUUUUUCUAGUGUUUAACCAUGUCCUCUACUGUACUCACAUUAUUGUUCAUUGAUAUUCAUACGCAAAGUCCUCGUCUUCUGUAUCUGAUUUAACAGUCGGGCAAGUUCCCUUUCGUCGGUCUCCUUGUUGUCAUGUUGCUCUUUGGCAAUGAGCCCGGUUUUCCAGAAAGCUUGAAUUGUCUUUGUGGUGCGUUGAAAAGAAUUCUCAAAUCACUGUACUCUGUAUUAUAUUAAAUCUUACACAACAUCCUACCUUUACUGGGUAUUGAAUUCGUGGGAUGUUGGUUUGAAUACGUCUAACCUUUCAGCCCUAAUAUCAAAUGUUUUAUAUGCAUGCCAUUUUGCAAUGUCCAAAAUAUACAGAAGAAAAAACAAGAGCUUGUAACCUGGGCACUUAAGGUUAUGUCCUCUCUUUCCUGCUCUCCAAUGGCUUCCAGGGUAUCGACAGCACUCUUUUCACAUGGAUCCAUCAGUCCAGGCCCACCUGUUAAAACAAAUACAUCUCCCUUAGUGUGAAUGUAGUAAGAUACAAGACAAAGUUAACUGCUUGUUCAUUUGAAGAUAACUUAAAGGACACAAUUUCUGCAAAAGAAACUUUCAGCGGCAUUCUUUCGUCCAAAACCAAAGGAAUAACGGACAAAAUUGUUUUUAUGCCACAAUAACCGAAAUUGUAGAACCCAUUACUGUUGCACAAUCAACUCCUUGAUAGAAAACAACCAAUGACGGUGGGCGUUAAUAUACUUUAGGAUGUUAUAUUGUUUCAUAUGUAAUUUUUAUUUUAUUCGACUUAUUUUUUUAGAUUUGAAAAUCUUUCAUUUAUUGUGUAAUUUACCAGAAGUACAGUGAUCCCUCACUACUUCACGCUUCACCUAGUGCAGUGCUUCUCAAAUAGUGGGGCGGGCCCCCCUGGGGGGGCGUAGUGCGAUACCAACGGGGGCGCGGGAACAUGUUUUUCUUUUGGCUGUAUUAGAUUAAAGGGUAAUUACACAUCCACUGCAGUAGGUGGGGGUGGCGGUAUCACUGGAAGAGUAUUUGCUCUACAGCAGCACUUUGAAUCUGUUCUGUUACAGACUAAAAAACACUGUUAUUAAUAAAGUUAUUCUUUAUUGUAAGUUGA